RNAcentral lists this unclassified non-coding RNA (702 nucleotides) under Mesorhizobium sp. LCM 3710. RNAcentral's name for it is "partial 16S-23S ribosomal RNA intergenic spacer". The stretch from base 588 to 702 matches the Rfam family "Bacterial large subunit ribosomal RNA", at positions 1 to 114 of the family's 2925-position model. The record is from RNAcentral. Lineage: Bacteria; Pseudomonadati; Pseudomonadota; Alphaproteobacteria; Hyphomicrobiales; Phyllobacteriaceae.
GUCCUCCCNGGCCCACCACUUCAGUGCAGCCCGAAGGGCUGUCACGACGCANUCCGCAAGGAUUGUCGGAUCACCUCGACACCUGUCGGGAAACGCUAUCAGGGGCCGUAGCUCAGCUGGGAGAGCGCCUGCUUUGCAAGCAGGAUGUCGUCGGUUCGAUCCCGUCCGGCUCCACCAAUGCGCAAUCCGUAAGGAUUGUCGUAAUCGCGACGAUCCUGUGGAUCGCGCGUAGGUGUCGAGUAGAGAUGGUGAGAGAAGUCAUUCGUAAAAAGAGUUUGCGCCGAGCCUCGGGCUCUGCGCCUGUUCUGUUUGACAUCGUAAAGAGAAGAUUUGUUCGAACUUCACGAGCCGCAAGGUUGGUGAUUUGUCGCAAGGGACGCUCAAUCCCUUGCAUAUGAUGGGUAAGCCUAACCGCGCCCUCGAACCGAUCUCGAGAAGCUGGUCUUUUUGUGCCAAUUCCAUGCGACGAUCUCUGCGAGAUCGCGCUUGAGCGACGAUCCUUCGGAUCGCGCUUUGCUAAUCUCGUAAGAGAGAGGCUGAAGCGACGAUUUCUUCGAAAUCGCGCGAUGGGUAUUGGCAAUGAGAACGAUCAAGUGUCUUAAGGGCAAUUGGUGGAUGCCUUGGCAUGCACAGGCGAUGAAGGACGUGAUACGCUGCGAUAAGCUACGGGGAGGUGCGAAUACCCUUUGAUCCGUAGAUCUC